This 855-nucleotide ribosomal RNA is filed under the name Brunneosphaerella protearum. RNAcentral's name for it is "eukaryotic LSU rRNA". It matches the Rfam family "Eukaryotic large subunit ribosomal RNA", at positions 1 to 889 of the family's 3401-position model. The record is from RNAcentral. Lineage: Eukaryota; Fungi; Ascomycota; Dothideomycetes; Mycosphaerellales; Mycosphaerellaceae.
GUUGACCUCGGAUCAGGUAGGGAUACCCGCUGAACUUAAGCAUAUCAAUAAGCGGAGGAAAAGAAACCAACAGGGAUUGCCCUAGUAACGGCGAGUGAAGCGGCAACAGCUCAAAUUUGAAAUCUGGCGCAAGCCCGAGUUGUAAUUUGCAGAGGAUGCUUCGGGGCGGCGGCCGUUCUAAGUCCCUUGGAACAGGGCGUCAUAGAGGGUGAGAAUCCCGUAUGUGACCGGCGCGCACCCCACACGUAGCUCCUUCGACGAGUCGAGUUGUUUGGGAAUGCAGCUCUAAAUGGGAGGUAAAUUCCUUCUAAAGCUAAAUACCGGCCAGAGACCGAUAGCGCACAAGUAGAGUGAUCGAAAGAUGAAAAGCACUUUGGAAAGAGAGUUAAAAAGCACGUGAAAUUGUUGAAAGGGAAGCGCUUGCAACCAGACUUCGCGGCGGUGUUCCGCCGGUCUUCUGACCGGCCUACUCGCCGCCGCGAGGCCAACAUCGUCUGGGGCCGCCGGAUAAGACCGCGGGAAUGUGGCUCCCUCGGGAGUGUUAUAGCCCUCGGUGAUGCGGCGCGUCCCGGGCGAGGUCCGCGCUUCGGCAAGGAUGUUGGCGUAAUGGUUGCCAGCGGCCCGUCUUGAAACACGGACCAAGGAGUCUAACAUCUAUGCGAGUGUUCGGGUGUCAAACCCCUACGCGUAAUGAAAGUGAACGGAGGUGGGAGCUUCGGCGCACCAUCGACCGAUCCUGAUGUCCUCGGAUGGAUUUGAGUAAGAGCAUAGCUGUUGGGACCCGAAAGAUGGUGAACUAUGCCUGAAUAGGGUGAAGCCAGAGGAAACUCUGGUGGAGGCUCGCAGCGGUUCUGA